Long non-coding RNA from Populus trichocarpa (black cottonwood), 2476 nucleotides. RefSeq lists it as uncharacterized. The record is from RefSeq and is a predicted model, not a curated record. The transcript has 2 exons. NCBI's taxonomy places the organism in Eukaryota, Viridiplantae, Streptophyta, Magnoliopsida, Malpighiales, Salicaceae.
UUCUUUAACUAAAAGAAGGCAUACAAUUGUAUACCGACUUUGAUUAAUAGAAUAGGCAAAUUGAUUUUUCCUCUUUCAAUCAGGCAAAAUAGUCCCACACACACAGAUGGCCCUCCUCUCUUUUAUUUCAAGCACUUACCGUUUGAUAUUUCAAGCACCAGACAGCUCCUCUCUCUCUUUUUUUAUUAAUAAUUAGUUUGUCCAAGAUUGCCAAGAACAGCUUCUUCACCAGCUUCUCGGCCUUUUCUUCUGUGAGGCCAUCAACAUCACUUAGCAGUUGCUGAUGAUAACCAUUUCUCAUCAGCAACUGCUUUUUGGUGGGAUUUGGUGCGUGAACGGGUUUUUCAACGAUUAAGGCUUUUGGCAAACUGUUAUUCAACAAUUUUGUUGUUUGGUGAGCCAUUUUUCUACGGUUAUAGAGCUUGAUGUGCUGUUUUUCAAUGGUGAUGGAAUUUGAAUAACCGUUUCUCAACGGUUGUGGAAUUUAAUGAGCUGUUUAUAAAGCCCCACGUCAAUCUAUAAGGAUUUUAAAGUAAAUAUUAUGAUAAGCAAGUAAAUUAAAUAUUUACACUAAAGAAAUGAUAAUAUAUUUUGAAAAUUUAAAAUAAAAUGUUUAUGUGAUAAUUGUAAAAGUAAAACCAUGAAAAAAAUGACUAAAAUAUAAAACAAAAAGAAACCGAAAUUUAAUGAAUUUCAAUAUUGCUUAGGUUAAAUUUAAUAUAAACAAGCGUAGAGAUUUGAAAAAUAUUACCAGGAAAAUAUAUAUGGUGUAAAAGAAAGGACAUAAUGGGAAUUACCAAAUUUUCUUCUUUUUUAUAUGCAUUGUGGCCGGCAGCUUGUAGAAAAAGAGAGAGAGACAAUGAAAUUUCUUCAUUUCUUUUAGCUUGAUUUUAGGAAAACUUGAGGCGAAACAAGAAUUUGAGAGAAAACUUGUGAGAUUUUAUGGGUUUAACACCUAAACACUUGACUCAAGAGAGGUUAGCUAUGGAAAGUAAGAUUUCUAGUGAGAGAAACAAGGAAAGUGAAGAAAGAAAAAGAAAACACUUGACUCAAGAAAAAGGUUAUAAUGGAUGUAAGAAUUGAUGUUAUAAAGAAGAAAACAUGGAGAAAAAGUGGGGAGAGUGGUCGAUCAAGUGUAGGGAAAAAAAAAUGAAAAUUAUGAUGUUGAUGAUAUAUGUGUGAAAAUUGUAUGAACUUAGUGUCAAGUGUUAUAUUAGAUAUUAUUUGAAAGGAAUUAGAUUAUGUUAUCAAAUUUGAUUAGCAUAUUAAAAUCUUGGGAAUUAUAGUUUUGGAAUGAAUAGUUAGUGAGGAUGCAUAAAUUAAAUAGCUUAAACUAUGAUAGAAUUAAAAAAAAAUAGAAUUGGAAAAGAAAGGAAAGUAGAGAGGGACUUUGUGGUCGAAUAAAUAUAUGGAUUGGGAAGUAGAAUUGAUAAUGAUGUGAUAUUUAAUUUGAUUUGUUUAAGAGUGAAUAUAAUAAGAAAAGAAUAAAUUGAUUAAUUCUAAUGUGAAAUGUGCUUAGGAAUUUAGUAGUGAAAAUGAAGAAUACGAUUGUAAAAGUGGGUUAGUAUGUGGUGUAAAAUCAAUUAAUAAUGAUAUGUUAUGAGAUCAAAGAAAAUAUUGAUAAUGGUAUCUUUUUUGGAUUCAAGAGAGGUACUAGAAAUGACGUCUUUCGCUGUAUGAGAAAUGCAUACAAUUGUUGAAUGAAAGUCAAUAUUUGUUGCUUUUAUUGAUGAAUGAAAAUCAUUGUUAUGCUGGCCAAUAUUUAUAGCUUCUAUCGUUAAAUGGAAGUCAUUGUUAUGUUACUUUUAUUGUCGAAUGAAAGUCGGUGUUUGUUGCUUCCAUUGUUGAAUGGAAACCAUUGUUAUAUUGCUUUUAUUUUUAGAAAAAAUUCAUUAUUUAUAGCUUUCAUCAUUGAACGGAAAUCAAUAUUUUGUUGCUUUUAUUGCUGAAUGAAAGUUAAUAAUAUAUCAUUUUUAUUGUUAGAUGAAAAUUAAUGGGAUGAGAUUUUUGUGAAUAUUAAAUAUGGAACUUGAGGUGGUAAUGAAAUUAUAACUGUCAAGAAUUGAAAAUUAUGGAUAAAAAGUGAAAAUUGUGUUAUAUCUAUAUAAGUAAAGGAUAAUUAACUUUAUUGAGAAUUAUUAAAAAUGUUUAAAAUGCUAAUGUGAACUUAUGAACUUAAUUAUUUAAUUAUUUAUUAUUUUAUUGUUAACUAUGCAAGACCAUUGUACACUGUGAGGCAGAGUAGUUAUAGAUAUUAGGGGUAGUUUAGUUAUAUUACAAAUAUUUUGUAUUCAUACACUUUUUUAUGUAUAAUUAGUAGAACCCUUCACUUUAUUCUGAAAUACAUGUAAUUUUUUUGUUAAAUAUUUCAUAUUCUUAUCCUUGUAAGCUUUAUUAUUUAUAUGUCAUGGAAAAAUAAUUGUAUGUAAAUCUUGAGUUGUGUUGAUUUGAAGUAAGGUCGAGGAUGAUUGAAUCA